AUUCAGCUGACGAGUCCCAAAUGGAACGAAACGCGGGUCAUGGAU
RNAcentral lists this non-coding RNA (45 nucleotides) under Schistosoma margrebowiei. The record is from RNAcentral. Lineage: Eukaryota; Metazoa; Platyhelminthes; Trematoda; Strigeidida; Schistosomatidae.